This 497-nucleotide ribosomal RNA is filed under the name uncultured bacterium. RNAcentral describes it as "partial 16S ribosomal RNA". It matches the Rfam family "Bacterial small subunit ribosomal RNA", at positions 28 to 507 of the family's 1533-position model. The record is from RNAcentral.
GAUGAACGCUGGCGGCGUGCCUAAUACAUGCAAGUCGAGCGAACAGACGAGGAGCUUGCUCUUCUGACGUUAGCGGCGGACGGGUGAGUAACACGUGGAUAACCUACCUAUCAGACUGGGAUAACUUCGGGAAACCGGAGCUAAUACCGGAUAAUAUAUCGAACCGCAUGGUUCAAUAGUGAAAGACGGUUUUGCUGUCACUUAUAGAUGGAUCCGGCCGGCAUUAGCUAGUUGGUAAGGUAACGGCUUAACAAGGCCACGAAUGGUUGCCGACCUGAGAGGGGGAACGGCCAACCUGGAACUGAGAAAAGGGCCAGACUCCUAAGGGGAGCAACAGUAGGGAAACCUUCGGAAUGGGAGGAAGCCUGACGGAGGAAAGGCGGGGGAGGGAUGAAGGUCUUCGGAUCGGAAAACCCUGUUAGUAGGGGAGAACAAAUGUGUAAGUAACUAUGCACGUCUUGAAGGUAAUUAAUCAAAAAGCCACGGCUAACUACGUG